This 637-nucleotide ribosomal RNA is filed under the name uncultured marine eukaryote. RNAcentral's name for it is "SSU rRNA". It matches the Rfam family "Eukaryotic small subunit ribosomal RNA", at positions 617 to 1259 of the family's 1831-position model. The record is from RNAcentral.
GGUAAAAAAGCUCGUAGUUGGAUUUCUGUUGAGGACAACCGGUCCAUACCAUGUAUGCGCAUCUGGCUUGGCCUCGGCAUCCUCUCGAUGGAUGUUUCUGCGCUUGACUGCGUGGAGCGGAUCUCGGGACUUUUACUUUGAGGAAAUUAGAGUGUUCACGGCAGGCUAUCGCCAGAAUACAUUAGCAUGGAAUAAUACUAUAGGACCUUGGUUCUAUUUUGUUGGUUUCUAGAAUUGAGGUAAUGAUUAAUAGGGAUAAUUGGGGGCAUUUGUAUUAACGCGUCAGAGGUGGAAUUCUUGGAUUGCGUCACGACAAACUACUGCGAAAGCAUUUGCCUAGGAUGUUUUCAUUGAUCAAGAACGAAAGUAUGGGGAUCGAAGAUGAUUAGAUACCGUCGUAGUCUAUACCAUAAACUAUGCCGACUAGGGAUUGGAGGUCGUUCUUUUUAUGACUCCUUCAGCACCUUAUGAGAAAUCAAAGUCUUUGGGUUCCGGGGGGAGUAUAGUCGCAAGGCUGAAACUUAAAGGAAUUGACGGAAGGGCACCACCAGGAGUGGAGCCUGCGGCUUAAUUUGACUCAACACGGGGAAACUCACCAGGUCCAGACAUAGUAAGGAUUGACAGAUUGAUAGCUCUU